RNAcentral lists this long non-coding RNA (2330 nucleotides) under Lupinus angustifolius (narrow-leaved blue lupine). Lineage: Eukaryota; Viridiplantae; Streptophyta; Magnoliopsida; Fabales; Fabaceae. The record is from RNAcentral.
AGUCACAGGCUGCAAAUAAAUAGAAGACAAAUCUUAGCCCUGAGAAAGGGUGCACCCAUAUAUAUUUAUCUUCAAUAUCUGGUUUUUUCAAUGAUCAUUGCACACAAACCAAACCAAUUCUUCCACAUCCCAUAGUCCUUCAUAUGAUUGAUUAAUAAGUUGGUGGUGAUUGAUGGAGAAGUGCUAUAGAUGAAGCACAAAGCAAUUGAGGUAUUGGCGUGCCUCAAUUUGAAGACAUGGUUAUUAUGGAAACAAGCCAUGUAGUUUUAAUUGAGCCGCGUCAAUAUCUUAAUUAUUUUCCAAUCAUUUCCCAUCUCCACCUACCUAUCUCUCUCUCAAACACCAGGUAUGUAUGUAUGUAUAUCCAAUACUCAUCUUUUUUGCUUCAUUUCCUUUAUAUAUAGAUAACUAUGUUCUUUCUUUUCCUCUGCUACUAUAUUCUUGUUUUUCGGAAAUAAAUAGAUGCAUAUACUCUUGCUUAAACCAAACCGUAGUGCUACUGUACUAUUUUUGGACAAAUAGUGCUGAUGCAAUAACUGUGUUUGUGGAAACUAUUGUGUCUCAAUUACCAUGGCCAUCCCAAAUUUUAAGACUUAAUGUUUAUGUAGGUAUAGUUAACAAAUUAAGGAAUCAUGGAAGGCAAUAUAUAUAUAGAAGGUAGACUUGGAUCAUAUGUAGACAUUAUAAUGUAGAGACUAUAAAUAUAGCUGUAUCUCGUUAAUCAAAAUUAGGGAAACCAAAACCAAAGUUGAAGACGAACUAUCCUUAGUUAGCCAGCAAAAUAAAAUGGAACCACCUUAUUUAAAUAAUCUAAAAGUUAUUAUUUUUGGUUAAUUAGAUUCACCGCCACUUAAAGAGCAUGCAGACCAAAAUUUGUGGAAUCAUGUUCAUCUCCAUUACACAAAAGAGAAGAUUAGAAAUGUUAUAUCAUAUUGUUUAUUUUCUUUAUUUUUUAUGUAUUUCUCUCUGAGGUAAUGGAGAGGAUCUAUAUCUCACGUUGAUGGGUCAAUAUAUAUAAUCCUACUAAAAGGCAUACUAUAAAUUCCAUCAUCUUGUAGAUAGGUACAAAUCAAUAAAAAGAAAUAACAUUUUUAUUGUUUUCACCAUAUGUGGUUUAGAUUGGUUUCGACUAAUUUUUUUAUAAAAGAUUGAUAAUCUAAACAUAUACUUCAAAAAUAAAAAACAUGAUUAAAAUAUUUAGUGUUAUAGAUAUUUUAAAUUUACAAGCUUUCAUGCUUUGGUGUUAAUAUUAUAUUGUCACAACUUUAUUAUAAAUAAAGUUUAUAUACUUUAAAAGUUCAUUGGUUUUUAGGCAAAAAUCAUUUGAUCCACUUUGUUCAACAACCAGGGAUUUGUGGUUGCUAAUAAUUCUUCUGAAACUGCUUCACGUGGUUACCAAUACUAUGUUGGAAGCUAUAACUAUAAUAAUCGCUUCAACGCAAGUUCUAUGUUUCCAACACCAUCUGACUCGGUUACUCCUGCUUUAUCCUAUGUUACUGGUUUUGAUGGUUUGAUAGGAGCUUCAAGAAUGGUAUGGUAUAGCAUUAGAGUCACUUUCUUAUUUAUAUGAAAAAACAAUGCUUUAUCUUUCUAUUGAGGGAUUUAGUUCAUCAAAAUAUGUCAUUAAUUAUUGAGUAGUACUACACUAGUGCAACUAGGGGUUUAGUUCCGAGCAAUUAGCAAAAUCAUUCUAUGUUUUUAUUAGGAGCCUCUUGCACUAAACACUUAAUAAUUUCUGUUUUUAUUUUGUUUCCUGUUUCUAAGAUUUAUCUAGAACAAACAAUAUUUUCCACCUUUUCGUAUACUAACAUUUGAAAACGGAAAACAAAAUAAAAAGAAGGUGACAUACUUGUAAUAAUUAUUAUGAACUUUCAUAGUGAAAAAAGGGACUCUAGUAUACCACAUUGACCUAUAUUUCGAUAUCCUAGAGUGUCUUCCCACAGGUUAACAAUAAGUACCAUGAAGUUGCACCAUUUUCGCCUCAAGGAAAUAGUGGCCUGUGCCUGUGAUGCCACCCUUGAAGAAGAAGAAGAAAAGGACUGAGGACAAUAGUAAAGGAACCCCCAUGAGCUCAUCAGGUUAACCUAUUCAUUAUUCUCUUGGGUUUCAUAUAUUUGAUUCCGUACUAUUAUUUAUUAUGUAUUUCUAUAUAUAGUUUGAAAAUCAAUAAGUGAACGAGUCUUCCAUCUACAGCAAAAUGAAGCACUAUAUCCAAGACAAGAAUUGCAGGCCAUUCUUUAUAGCUCAGUGUAAAGCAGAUAGAUGUUGGUACAAAUUUUCCAUCAUCAAAAGUUUCAUAAUUCUAUAAACAAAUGGACAAAAGGAAACGC